This 999-nucleotide long non-coding RNA is filed under the name Rhinopithecus bieti (black snub-nosed monkey). RNAcentral's name for it is "lncRNA (ENSRBIG00000046572.1)". The record is from RNAcentral. Lineage: Eukaryota; Metazoa; Chordata; Mammalia; Primates; Cercopithecidae.
CUCCUAUACAUUAUUUUAUUUUCGCUAUUAAACCCAGCACAGUUUCUGUACUUCCAUUUUAUAAAUAAAGAAGAGGAGGUUCUAAGUGGCCAAACAGGCACUGAAACCUGUAUUCUGUUUUAUGCAGCAUAAAAUAGCUAUGUUAUUAAAGAAAAAGGUAAAAAGAGUUGCUACUUAGUUACGUAGGAUUUUAUUUUAGCAAUAUCUUUUAUCAUUCUCUGUACUCAAACUAAAAUUAUACUACUAUGGACAGUUCCUCUCAUUUUUGAUCGACUCUGCCAAAAAUAAGUUACUGUUUUCUUAAACCAGGUAAGAAUAAAUUGGAGGAAGAAGUGAGUACUUUGGAUUUGUCUAAAGCAGCUCUACUAUGACAUCACAAUAGUCAGAAGCAGGAUGGGCAGGUCUCCAUUGAUCAAGUGAUCAUAUAGUAAAACCAGAAUCAGUCAUCCAAAACUGGUAACUUUACAGAGAAUUGUAGAAAUAAGACAGUAGGGGUAGGGAGGAAAAAGGAAACCAAUUUCUGUCACUAUCGAACUGUGGCAGAGUAUUAAGCAAUAAGAAUCUGUUUUGUGUCUUUAACAUAGAAUUUGCACUCUUCUGAAGAAUAUCAGUUCUUUUGCAAGUUUGAUAUCUGCCUUCAGUUAAAUCUAGACUUCAGAUGUGGAGAUGUUUUGUGAGAAGCUUUGAAAUCCACUGGCAUACGCCAUUCCUUCAUUCAAGACAAAUAUGUGGGAGAAUCAGCAGGAGUCCAUUCUGGCUUCCAGAGAGUGCCCUGAAGCAGUCCACGGGAAGGUGCUGGAAGAGGCAGCCGCAGAUGGUCCAGUGUCCAACUUAGUGUCAUGCACAGAGUUGGGACUCAGCCUCUGUUGCCUGAUUGAUAAUGAAGACAGUCACCGUGGUCAACCCCACUGUAAUUGAACGUUUAUUUUUCAUAAAGUCAAUGUAAAAUAUGUCUACUGCACCUUUGUGAUAACAAAUGCAUAAAAAGCUUAAAACUCC